UUGCCUCCGGGGACGAACCACUGACCUUCGGGCGGGGGCUCCGGGUGGACACUUCAAACUCUUGCGUAACUUUGCAGUCUGAGUAAACUUAAUUAAUAAAUUAAAACUUUUAACAACGGAUCUCUUGGUUCUGGCAUCGAUGAAGAACGCAGCGAAAUGCGAUAAGUAAUGUGAAUUGCAGAAUUCAGUGAAUCAUCGAAUCUUUGAACGCACAUUGCGCCCCCUGGUAUUCCGGGGGGCAUGCCUGUUCGAGCGUCAUUUCACCACUCAAGCCUCGCUUGGUAUUGGGCAUCGCGGUCCGCCGCGUGCCUCAAAUCGACCGGCUGGGUCUUCUGUCCCCUAAGCGUUGUGGAAACUAUUCGCUAAAGGGUGUUCGGGAGGCUACGCCGUAAAACAACCCCAUUUCUAAGGUUGACCUCGGAUCAGGUAAGGAUACCCGCU
This 441-nucleotide ribosomal RNA is filed under the name Cladosporium cladosporioides. RNAcentral's name for it is "eukaryotic LSU rRNA". The stretch from base 105 to 258 matches the Rfam family "5.8S ribosomal RNA". Lineage: Eukaryota; Fungi; Ascomycota; Dothideomycetes; Cladosporiales; Cladosporiaceae. The record is from RNAcentral.